ACCUGGUUGAUCCUGCCAGUAGUCAUAUGCUUGUCUCAAAGAUUAAGCCAUGCAUGUGUCAGUAUAAGUAUUAUAUAGCGAAACUGCGAAUGGCUCAUUACAUCAGUCAUAACUUAUUUGAUAUUUGAAAGUUACAUGGAUAACCGUGGCAAUUCUACAGCUAAUACAUGCGUUCAUACCCAACUUUACGGACGGGUAGUAUUUAUUAGAAUAUUAAACCAAUCCUUCGGGUUGUGAUGAUUCAUAAUAACUGAUCGAAGCGAGGAUUUCCUUGCUAAAUCAUUCAGGUCUCUGCCCUAUCAGCUUUAGAUGGUAGUGUAUUGGACUACCAUGGCUAUAACGGGUAACGUAGAUAAGGGUUCGAUUACGGAGAUGAAGCCUGAGAAAUGGCUUCAACAUCUAAGAUGGCAGCAGGCGCGAAAAUUGCCCAAUCCCGAUUCGGGGAGGCAGUGACAAGAAAUAACAACUCAGGGCAUUGUCCCAGGGAUUGUAAUGAGAAAAAUGUAAAAAACUUAUCGAGUAUCAACUGGAGGGCAAGCUAUGGUGCCAGCAGCCGCGGUAAUUCCAUCUCCAGUAGCGUAUAUUAAAGUUGCUGCAGUUAAAAAGCUCGUAGUUGAAAUUCUG
Molecule: ribosomal RNA, 624 nt
Filed under: uncultured eukaryote
Lineage: Eukaryota
Description: bacterial SSU rRNA
Rfam family: Eukaryotic small subunit ribosomal RNA
Source: RNAcentral